RNAcentral lists this ribosomal RNA (253 nucleotides) under uncultured bacterium. RNAcentral's name for it is "partial 16S ribosomal RNA". It matches the Rfam family "Bacterial small subunit ribosomal RNA", at positions 524 to 776 of the family's 1533-position model. The record is from RNAcentral.
UACGAACCGUCCAAACGUUAUUCGGAUUUAUUGGGCUUAAAGGGUAUGUAGGCGGCCCUUCAAGUCGGGUGUGAAAGCCCUCGGCUCAACCGAGGAACUGCGCCCGAUACUGCAGGGCUUGAGGGAGACAGAGGUAAGCGGAACUGAUGGUGGAGCGGUGAAAUGCGUAGAUAUCAGGAGGAACACCUGUGGCGAAGGCGGCCCUCUGGACGGAUACUGACGCUGAGACGCGAAAGCGUGGGGAGCAAACAGG